RNAcentral lists this long non-coding RNA (1302 nucleotides) under Mus musculus (house mouse). RNAcentral describes it as "long non-coding RNA chr6:67096008-67097310". Lineage: Eukaryota; Metazoa; Chordata; Mammalia; Rodentia; Muridae. The record is from RNAcentral.
AGAUAGACCAUUGAAAUCUUUUCAUGAUAAAUGACUGCAUGUUCUUUUUUUUUUACAUCUCUAAAAUAAACUUGUUUGAUAAAUCCAUCCCCUUCUACUUACUUAUAUGAACAAUUUCUCCAUGCCUGUCUCUGAAAAAAAAGAAAGAAAGAAAGAAAGAAAGAAAGAAAGAAAGAAAGAAAGAAAGAAAGAAAGAAAAAGAAAAAGAAAAAGAAAUUAGAAGGGUUGCUGCACCCUGCCUCAUUCAGCACAAUAGAGAAAUGAAACACUUGAGAAAAACCCACUUGACUUAUUACUUACUAUAACUCCAAUAAAAAUGUGCUUAAGUAUUAAUAUCUUCUGCUGUUUUAACUAAUUCUAGCUUAAUAGUAACUAAACCCAGAAAAAUAUAAGCACUUGUAGACUUGAACUUACAUAGUGUAUUAGCUGGCAGUGACAAACACCAUGACCAAAAACAACUUGUGGGGGGUGGGGAGGAAGGGUUUAUUUAGCUUAUACUUCCAGGUCACAAUACAACAUUGAGGGAGUUUAGGCAGGAACUUAAGGCAGGAACCAGCAGACAGGAACUAUGAAGGAAGACUACUUAUCAGUUCCCUCACUGGCUCAGGUUCUACUAGCUUUGCUAUAUAGGUCAAGGUCACCUGUCUAAGGAUGACACUGCCUUCAGUGGGUUGAGCCCUCCUACUUCAAUUAGCAACCAAGAAAAUGCCCCCACAGACAUGCCCACAGGCCAUCCUAUUGGAGGCAGUUCUUCAACUCAGGUCCCUCUUCCCAGACAACUCUAGGGUGAGUUAAGUUGACAAUAAAAACUACCCAGGACAGGUGUGAAUUUUUUUCUUUUGAUAUGGAGAGGGGGCAGAAUAUGACACCUUGACUAAUAAAACACUUUCAAGCAUUAAAAUAUUAUUUACUUCGGGAUAAAAUUCUGUUGUUGAAAAUGAAAUGGUGAAAGAUUUACUAAAAAAAAAAAAAAAAAAAAAAAAAAAAAAAAAGAGCUUGUUUGUGGCUGGGUUUGCAGCCCAGUGGUAAAGCACUUGCCAAGCCCAGACUUCAGGCUCUGUCCCUGGAAAAGGGAGAAGAGCCUGUUAUGUGAGCUGCACUAGCUGGUGGUGGGCUGUGCACCACCCUUCACUAGCAAACCCCAGUAGGGUUCCUCAGGAAGCACUCACUAAAGUAAGGACUUUGCUUUUUAAUGGCAUCAGACACUGUCGUUCACUGUGCUAACUCAGCAUGAAACUUUUCAGAUACGUAAAACUAGAGACAAGGAGAAAAAAGUUUCCAAACAUUUUGGAAUAUGCAGGC